ACGGCUCAGUAACACGUGCCCAACCUACCCUCGGGAGGGGGACACCCCCGGGAAACUGGGGCCAAUCCCCCAUAGGGGCGGGGCGCUGGAAGGCCCCCUCCCCGAAAGGACGGCGGCCGAUCCGCCGCCGCCCGCCCGAGGAUGGGGGCACGGCCCAUCAGGUAGUUGGCGGGUUAAAGGCCCGCCAAGCCGAAGACGGGUAGGGGCGGUGAGAGCCGCGAGCCCCGAGAUCGGCACUGAGACAAGGGCCGAGGCCCUACGGGGUGCAGCAGGCGCGAAUACUCCGCAAUGCGGGCAACCGCGACGGGGCUACCCCGAGUGCCGGGCGAAGAGCCCGGCUUUUGCCCGGUCUAAAAAGCCGGGGGAAUAAGCGGGGGGCAAGUCUGGUGUCAGCCGCCGCGGUAAUACCAGCUCCGCGAGUGGUCGGGGUGUUUACUGGGCUUAAAGCGCCCGUAGCCGGCCCGGCAAGUCGCUCCUGAAAUCCCAGGGCUCACCCUGGGGCGGGGGGCGAUACUGCCGGGCUAGGGGGCGGAAGAGGCCGCCGGUACUCCGGGGGUAGGGGCGAAAUCCGUUAAUCCCCGGAGGACCACCAGUGGCGAAAGCGGGCGGCCAGAACGCGCCCGACGGUGAGGGGCGAAAGCCGG
RNAcentral lists this ribosomal RNA (644 nucleotides) under uncultured prokaryote. Its description in RNAcentral is "partial 16S ribosomal RNA". It matches the Rfam family "Archaeal small subunit ribosomal RNA", at positions 85 to 714 of the family's 1478-position model. The record is from RNAcentral.